RNAcentral lists this ribosomal RNA (468 nucleotides) under uncultured bacterium. RNAcentral's name for it is "partial 16S ribosomal RNA". It matches the Rfam family "Bacterial small subunit ribosomal RNA", at positions 28 to 507 of the family's 1533-position model. The record is from RNAcentral.
GACGAACGCUGGCGGCGUGCUUAAUACAUGCAAGUCGAACGGAAAGGCCCUGCUUUUGUGGGGUGCUCGAGUGGCGAACGGGUGAGUAACACGUGAGUAACCUGCCCUUGACUUUGGGAUAACUUUAGGAAACUGGGGCUAAUACCGGAUAGGAGCUCCUGCUGCAUGGUGGGGGUUGGAAAGUUUCGGCGGUUGGGGAUGGACUCGCGGCUUAUCAGCUUGUUGGUGGGGUAGUGGCUUACCAAGGCUUUGACGGGUAGCCGACCUGAGAGGGUGACCGGCCACAUUGGGACUGGGAUACGGCCCAGACUCCUACGGGAGGCAACGGUGGGGAAGAUUACACAAUAGGCUGAAGCCUGAUGCAACAACGCCGCGUGCGGGAUGACAGCCUUCGGGUUGUAAACCGCUUUCGCCUGUGACGAAGCGUGAGUGACGGUAAUGAGUAAAGAAGCACCGGCUAACUACGUG